GAGACGCUCCGCGAGCCCGGCGGCAUCCGGCCUCCAGCCUUCCCCGUGAGCCCCUCGCCCCCACCUCCCGGACCUGCGCGGCCGCGGAAGCCAGUUAUCAUUGCUGAUUCCGCUGUUGGCGUCUGCACGCCGAAAGGCCGGCUACCACCUUAGACCCCGGUAUAAGCAAGAUGUUCCAUCCUGGUCAGCAUGAGAGAGGCAGUGUAAUGGAGGGUGUCACAGUUUGACACAAAAUCCACUCAAGAUAGUGGGACAGAAAUGGGAAAAACUAAAAACUCAGGAGAAACAGGGAGGGAUUUAUUAUAGGAAUUGGCUCAUGAGAUUAUGAAGAGCAAGAAGUCCCUUGAUCUGCUGUCUACAAGCUAUAAAACAGGAAAGCCAGCGGUGUAAUUCAGUCCAUUUCUGAAGGCCUGAGACCCAAGAGAGCUGAUAAUGGUAACUUGUAAUCAGUAGGGUAACUGGGAAGGUUUUAAUUAUUAGGAGUGCUGCUGCUGCUGCUGCUGCUAAGUCGCUUCAGUCAUGUCCGACUCUAUGCAACCCCAUAGACGGCAGCCCACCAGGCUCCGCCGUCCCUGGGAUUCUCCAGAUCUCACUGCUGUCAUGGCUCAUUUGAGCCUGUUAAGAAAUAUCACUGGAGGGGAGCUUCAUUCCUGUAGAAUUUGAGAGGAGAUAAAUGAACUGAUGAAAACAUUAUUAAAGAAAAGAGAACCAGAAAUGAUGAUCUAGGAAACUAUCAGUCCACCCAGAUGGAAAAGAAUGCUGAAGUUCAGAAAUUCACUAUCACAAAAAUACUCUGGAGAAAAUGCUGAUGGUGUGACCCUAAAAUCCUUCCUAAGAACCUCAGAAGAUCUCUUUGAGAGAUUAAGUCAUUCAGUGGUGUCUGACUCUUUGCGACCCAUGGACUGCAGCCUGCCAUGCUCCUCUGUCCAUGGGGAUUCUCCAGGCAAGAAUACUGGAUUGGGUUGCCAUGCCCUCCUCCAGGGGAUCUUCCCAUCCAGGGAUCGGACCCAGGUCUCCCACAUUGCAGGCAGAUUCUUUACUGACUGAGCCACCAGGGAAGCCUCCUUUAUCCAACCAGUCCGUUCUGAAGGAGAUCAGCCCUGGGAUUUCUUUGGAAGGAAUGAUGCUAAAGCUGAAACUCCAGUACUUUGGCCACCUCAUGCGAAGAGUUGACUCAUUGGAAAAGACUCUGAUGCUGGGAGGGAUUGGGGGCAGGAGGAGAAGGGGACGACAGAGGAUGAGAUGGCUGGAUGGCAUCACUGACUCGAUGGACGUGAGUCUGAGUGAACUCUGGGAGUUGGUGAUGGACAGGGAGGCCUGGUGUGCUGCGAUUCAUGGGGUCACAAAGAGUCGGACAUGACUGAGCGACUGAACUGAACUGAACUGAAAGAUAUAUUAUUCACAAAUAUUUUCUCUUAUUCUGUGGUUUGUCUUUUCACUUUCUUAAUAG
Bos taurus (domestic cattle) is the source of this 1450-nucleotide long non-coding RNA. The record is from Ensembl. Lineage: Eukaryota; Metazoa; Chordata; Mammalia; Artiodactyla; Bovidae.